AGUAUAUUCUCAUAGCUGAAUAUCAUUUUUUAUUUCUGGAAAGUAAUCUUGUUUCUUUGUUUUUCUAUUAAGCUUUUUUGAACCAUUUAAUAUGUGAGAACUGUGAGGGUAGAGAAUUUACUAGUGUUAAGUAAAACGUUUUUGUACCUUUGGUAUCAGGGUUUGUUAAAAUUGGUCAUUCAUUUGUUUUUCCCGAAGAAAAGAGAGUUAUUUGGCUAUUUGUUUCUUGUUGCAAAAAGGGACUUAAUGGUCAGGUGGAAGCGAGAUGUUAGCCGUUCUUUUGGUUAUCUGGUUCUUGUAGAAAUUUAGUAAGGCGUUAGAAGUAGCAGAAAAUUUAUUAGGGAUAAGCUUAAUAUUUUAUACUUAUAUAGAAAUAGGAAUAGUACUAUUAAAGGAUUAAUAGUGUCUUUGUGUUUUGUAACUUAUUGUUGUCCUUAUAUAUUAAUUGGUUAUAUAAGGGUGUCUUAAAAUUUUUUUUGUUAGUAAUAAUGGUAGAAUUAGUAGAUUUGAUUUUAGUAUGUAAAUUUAGGUGUGUUAUUUAAGGUAUGUUUUCUAAUAGGUUUUGGUAAGGAACUCGGCAACAAUCUUUCUUAACUGUUUAUCAAAAACAUUUCUUUAAGUAAGGAUUUAAAGUAUAUUCUGCCCACUGAUUAAUCUAUUAAAUGGCCGCAGUAGCC
RNAcentral lists this ribosomal RNA (677 nucleotides) under Leiobunum aurugineum. RNAcentral describes it as "partial 16S ribosomal RNA". The record is from RNAcentral. Lineage: Eukaryota; Metazoa; Arthropoda; Arachnida; Opiliones; Sclerosomatidae.